GGGGGUUUCUAAGGUGAAAAUAAGAGGAAGAUGUUUGGAAUGUGAAGCUUGUGGAGAGAAUGCAGUAUUCACACAGCAGCUAUUUUGAGAUUUUGACUAUGAGAAGUUUACUCAGUCUCCACUAAAGAGGCUGCCCUUGAAGCUGAACCUGCUUCCCGAUAAUGCAAGAAUAAGCACUGCGGAGUACAAAGAGAAAGUCAUCAAUGGAGAAGCACAUGUAUUAGUGGAUGUAAGUCCUUGAACAUUCCAUUGUCAAGCUUGGAGAGUAAGUUGCCAAAUAUAUCUUCAGCCUUAAAGCGAGAGGAAGAGCGGACAAGUUCUAGUUCAAAUGCUUCUUUAUACGUAGUAUGUAGAUGAAGUAAUGACUCACAGAGGGCUGUUCAAUACCUCCAUAAAAUGGGUUUAACUUCAGCUCAGGAUAUUAUUGG
Telopea speciosissima is the source of this 428-nucleotide long non-coding RNA. RefSeq lists it as uncharacterized. The record is from RefSeq and is a predicted model, not a curated record. The transcript is spliced from 3 exons. Lineage: Eukaryota; Viridiplantae; Streptophyta; Magnoliopsida; Proteales; Proteaceae.